RNAcentral lists this ribosomal RNA (461 nucleotides) under Peptostreptococcus stomatis. Its description in RNAcentral is "bacterial SSU rRNA". It matches the Rfam family "Bacterial small subunit ribosomal RNA", at positions 28 to 456 of the family's 1533-position model. The record is from RNAcentral. Lineage: Bacteria; Bacillati; Bacillota; Clostridia; Peptostreptococcales; Peptostreptococcaceae.
GAUGAACGCUGGCGGCGUGCCUAACACAUGCAAGUCGAGCGAGGGUUUGCUCAGUAUUGAGUAUUCUAAGUCUAGAAUGUUCAAUUCUGAGCAAAACCAAGCGGCGGACGGGUGAGUAACGCGUGGGUAACCUGCCCUACACACAUGGAUAACAUACUGAAAAGUUUACUAAUACAUGAUAAUAUAUAUUUGCGGCAUCGCAGAUAUAUCAAAGUGUUAGCGGUAUAGGAUGGACCCGCGUCUGAUUAGCUAGUUGGUGAGAUAACUGCCCACCAAGGCGACGAUCAGUAGCCGACCUGAGAGGGUGAUCGGCCACAUUGGAACUGAGACACGGUCCAAACUCCUACGGGAGGCAGCAGUGGGGAAUAUUGCACAAUGGGCGAAAGCCUGAUGCAGCAACGCCGCGUGAACGAUGAAGGUCUUCGGAUCGUAAAGUUCUGUUGCAGGGGAAGAUAAUGACG